RNAcentral lists this unclassified non-coding RNA (347 nucleotides) under Hevea brasiliensis (rubber tree). Lineage: Eukaryota; Viridiplantae; Streptophyta; Magnoliopsida; Malpighiales; Euphorbiaceae. The record is from RNAcentral.
AAAUUAACUGGCCUGGACUCAGGUGCCAUGUGUCUGCAGGAUUCCAAGUUCAGAUAAGUGGCUUUGACUCUCAUUUUAGGGUUCUUAUACUCAAAUUUUGAGAAAAGUUUCUAAAUCAAAAUUGAAGCUCUAUCUCUUAUGUUUCCAGAACAGUUUGACUCAUCACAUUUGAGAUUUUCUAGUGAAAGUUGUGGUAUAAAUUCUGUGCUGGGGUCAGGUGGUAGUUCAGGCAAAUUUCAAGAUUUGGUGUACUAAUUUGUUCUAAUAAUUUGACUUAGUUUCCUUGGGUUCUGGAUUCUGGCCAAAACAUUAAUAUUAUAGAUCUAUGUCUUAUAAAACUUUUGGCA